This 118-nucleotide ribosomal RNA is filed under the name Endomicrobium sp. Lineage: Bacteria; Pseudomonadati; Elusimicrobiota; Endomicrobiia; Endomicrobiales; Endomicrobiaceae. The record is from RNAcentral.
UUUGGUGGUUAUUCCGAUGGUGUUCACACCCGAUCCCAUUCCGAACUCGGAAGUUAAGCCCAUCAGGGCCGAUGGUACUUGGACCGUAGGGUCCUGGAAGAGUAGGUUGCUGCCAAAU